RNAcentral lists this long non-coding RNA (218 nucleotides) under Elaeis guineensis (African oil palm). RNAcentral's name for it is "long non-coding RNA (EGUI_LNC026362)". The record is from RNAcentral. Lineage: Eukaryota; Viridiplantae; Streptophyta; Magnoliopsida; Arecales; Arecaceae.
AGGUUAUUGGUACAAGAUGUGUGCUCAUAAUCAACUCAGAUUCUGGUCCAUACGGGGCUUAUACUAACCCUUUUUGUAAGAUACUUUGCACCUUUUGAGUGAAUGGUGUAACAAAUUAUUUAGUAAAUGCUUGUGCUGAAAAUGUAGAACUGAAAUUGAUCAAAUGUUUAUAAGCAAGAUACAAACCAUAGAAUGAUGGUAAGCAAAAUAUCUCGAAC